RNAcentral lists this non-coding RNA (251 nucleotides) under Listeria monocytogenes. RNAcentral describes it as "T-box". It matches the Rfam family "T-box leader". From Rfam's summary of the family: Uncharged tRNA acts as the effector for transcription antitermination of genes in the T-box leader family. T-boxes are found upstream of many aminoacyl-tRNA synthetase genes and some amino acid biosynthetic genes usually in Gram-positive bacteria. The anticodon of a specific tRNA base pairs to a specifier sequence within the T-box motif, and the NCCA acceptor tail of the tRNA base pairs to a conserved bulge in the T-box antiterminator hairpin. The record is from RNAcentral. Lineage: Bacteria; Bacillati; Bacillota; Bacilli; Caryophanales; Listeriaceae.
UACAAAGCUACGACGAGAAAAGUACGACGCCCGUUUUUUCCAAAAGAGAGUUCCCACUGCUGAAAAGGAACAAAAAACAACGUCCGAAAAUGGCCUCUGAGUUUUGUCGCUGAAAAUAAGUAAGCAACAACGGGUUUAGUGUCCGUUAUCAAGCACUCUAAGUAUUUUAUAUGUAAAUGCUUAUUUGAGGUUUUCAGUGCAAGCUGGAAAUAAAUUAAGGUGGUACCGCGUGAAAUUUUCUCGCCCUUAUU